AUUUCGUACUUGUCAAUAUACAUGUGAAAAUUUGAAUACAAAAUAUGAAAAUCUCCUACAUCUCAACAAUGAACAGUUGCUCCUUUUCAUUAUGUUCCUGGUUUGGAACUCAACUGCAGUACAGGCUGCUUAUUUGAACAGGUGCAUACAUAAUGUGGUGUGGUUUAACAUGAAUGUGAGCGCGCAACCCUCCCCUAACCUGGGACA
RNAcentral lists this long non-coding RNA (207 nucleotides) under Mytilus galloprovincialis (Mediterranean mussel). Lineage: Eukaryota; Metazoa; Mollusca; Bivalvia; Mytilida; Mytilidae. The record is from RNAcentral.